CCUACGGGAGGCAGCAGUGGGGAAUAUUGCGCAAUGGGCGAAAGCCUGACGCAGCGACGCAGCGUGAGGGAUGAAGGUCUUCGGAUCGUAAACCUCUGUCAGCAGGGAAGAACGGUCACUGUGCUAAUCAGCAGUGAAUUGACGGUACCUGCAAAGGAAGCACCGGCUAACUCCGUGCCAGCAGCCGCGGUAAUACGGAGGGUGCGAGCGUUAAUCGGAAUUACUGGGCGUAAAGCGCUCGUAGGCGGUAUGUCAAGUCAAGGGUGAAAUCCCCGCGCUCAACGUGGGAACUGCCUUUGAAACUGGCAGACUGGAGUGUGUGAGAGGAUAGUGGAAUUCCAGGUGUAGGAGUGAAAUCCGUAGAUAUCUGGAGGAACAUCAGUGGCGAAGGCGACUUUCUGGACGAUAACUGACGUUGAGGCACGAAAGUGUGGGGAGCAAACAGGAUUAGAUACCCCGGUAGUC
This 465-nucleotide ribosomal RNA is filed under the name uncultured bacterium. RNAcentral's name for it is "partial 16S ribosomal RNA". It matches the Rfam family "Bacterial small subunit ribosomal RNA", at positions 338 to 795 of the family's 1533-position model. The record is from RNAcentral.